Molecule: ribosomal RNA, 459 nt
Filed under: uncultured bacterium
Lineage: Bacteria
Description: bacterial SSU rRNA
Rfam family: Bacterial small subunit ribosomal RNA
Source: RNAcentral
UGGAGGCAGCAGUGGGGAAUUUUGGACAAUGGGGGCAACCCUGAUCCAGCCAUGCCGCGUGCGGGAAGAAGGCCUUCGGGUUGUAAACCGCUUUUAGCCGGAAAGAAAAGGCCACGGAUAACACCCGUGGUUCUUGACGGUACCGGCGGAAUAAGCACCGGCUAACUACGUGCCAGCAGCCGCGGUAAUACGUAGGGUGCGAGCGUUAAUCGGAAUUACUGGGCGUAAAGCGUGCGCAGGCGGUUCGUUGUGUCUGUGGUGAAAGCCCCGGGCUUAACCUGGGAAUGGCCAUGGAAACUAGCGAGCUGGAGUGUGGCAGAGGGGGGUGGAAUUCCGCGUGUAGCAGUGAAAUGCGUAGAGAUGCGGAGGAACACCGAUGGCGAAGGCAGCCCCCUGGGCUAACACUGACGCUCAGGCACGAAAGCGUGGGGAGCAAACAGGAUUAGAUACCCCGGUAGU